ACCUGGUCUUGACAUCCACGGAAGUUUUCAGAGAUGAGAAUGUGCCUUCGGGAACCGUGAGACAGGUGCUGCAUGGCUGUCGUCAGCUCGUGUUGUGAAAUGUUGGGUUAAGUCCCGCAACGAGCGCAACCCUUAUCCUUUGUUGCCAGCGGUCCGGCCGGGAACUCAAAGGAGACUGCCAGUGAUAAACUGGAGGAAGGUGGGGAUGACGUCAAGUCAUCAUGGCCCUUACGACCAGGGCUACACACGUGCUACAAUGGCGCAUACAAAGAGAAGCGACCUCGCGAGAGCAAGCGGACCUCAUAAAGUGCGUCGUAGUCCGGAUUGGAGUCUGCAACUCGACUCCAUGAAGUCGGAAUCGCUAGUAAUCGUGGAUCAGAAUGCCACGGUGAAUACGUUCCCGGGCCUUGUACACACCG
Molecule: ribosomal RNA, 419 nt
Filed under: Shigella sonnei
Lineage: Bacteria; Pseudomonadati; Pseudomonadota; Gammaproteobacteria; Enterobacterales; Enterobacteriaceae
Description: bacterial SSU rRNA
Rfam family: Bacterial small subunit ribosomal RNA
Source: RNAcentral